This 80-nucleotide transfer RNA is filed under the name Trichonephila clavata. It matches the Rfam family "tRNA". Rfam says of the family: Transfer RNA (tRNA) molecules are approximately 80 nucleotides in length. Their secondary structure includes four short double-helical elements and three loops (D, anti-codon, and T loops). The record is from Rfam by way of RNAcentral. Lineage: Eukaryota; Metazoa; Arthropoda; Arachnida; Araneae; Nephilidae.
AGUAGCGUGGCCGAGUGGUCUAAGGCGCUGGUUUUAGGCACCAGUCUUUCGAGGCGUGGUUUCGAAUCCCACCGCUGCCA